AGAACUCUGGAGAAUCCCUCUUAAAGGGUGCCGAAGGUGCAAGUACGUUUUCGUAUAAUCUCUCAGGCAAAAAGACAGAGCUG
This 83-nucleotide non-coding RNA is filed under the name bovine gut metagenome. RNAcentral describes it as "Glycine riboswitch". It matches the Rfam family "Glycine riboswitch aptamer", at positions 7 to 88 of the family's 94-position model. Rfam says of the family: This family represents the bacterial glycine riboswitch. Glycine riboswitches usually consist of two metabolite-binding aptamers domains with similar structures in tandem. The aptamers cooperatively bind glycine to regulate the expression of downstream genes. The record is from RNAcentral.